RNAcentral lists this ribosomal RNA (490 nucleotides) under uncultured Desulfobulbus sp. RNAcentral's name for it is "bacterial SSU rRNA". It matches the Rfam family "Bacterial small subunit ribosomal RNA", at positions 896 to 1382 of the family's 1533-position model. The record is from RNAcentral. Lineage: Bacteria; Pseudomonadati; Thermodesulfobacteriota; Desulfobulbia; Desulfobulbales; Desulfobulbaceae.
GAAACUCAAAGGAAUUGACGGGGGCCGCACAAGCGGUGGAGUAUGUGGUUAAUUCGAUGCAACGCGAAGAACCUUACCUGGUCUUGACAUCCCGGAGACCCUUAGGAAACUAGGGGGUGCUUCCAUCUGGAAGAAUCUGGAGACAGGUGCUGCAUGGCUGUCGUCAGCUCGUGUCGUGAGAUGUUGGGUUAAGUCCCGCAACGAGCGCAACCCUUGCCUUUAGUUGCCAGCAGUUCGGCUGGGCACUCUAAAGGGACUGCCGGUGUUAAACCGGAGGAAGGUGGGGAUGACGUCAAGUCCUCAUGGCCUUUAUGACCAGGGCUACACACGUACUACAAUGGCCGAUACAAAGGGCAGCGACACUGCGAGGUGAAGCCAAUCCCGUAAAAUCGGUCUCAGUCCGGAUUGGAGUCUGCAACUCGACUCCAUGAAGUUGGAAUCGCUAGUAAUCGUGGAUCAGCAUGCCACGGUGAAUACGUUCCCGGGCCUU